GGCUUCACGCAGCCCCGUCGGAUUCGCUUCGCUGUUGCUAGCUAGCGCUUUCUAGCGCCGUUUAAAAUAGAAUCAAGAAUGUUCCCUGCCGAUUUCCCCAGCAGCGCUUGCUGAGCCGUGCCAGGCACCGCGGCGCCCGUUCCUGCAACCUGCCUCCGUACGGGAACGCCAGGUGGGGAAGCCAGUCUUGCGCUCGGAGAAAGAAGCCCGAGGAGCCCGGCAGCAGCCACUGCGGAGCUUGCUCAGAAGUUCACUCCCUCUGUCACAGUGUAUGCAGUUUGCCAGGGUUGGGAAUUAUAGCAGGUGCCUGAACUAUUAAGGAGUGCAAAGGAAUGGGACACACAGGUAGUGAUCAAGUGCUCGCCUCUGCCAGUACGUCAGAGAGACUGCCCAGACCUGCAAAGGUGCCGCUUUUCAUGUUCACUCUCAAGGCUUCCCAUGUGAGUUUUCAACAUUUGGGCUACAGCUUGGACAGACAUUUUCUCCCUUGAUGCUACCUGGUUUACAUCACAGCACCUGGAUCCAAGACUGAAGAGUUUUAGGUGGAGAUAAGAAUCAGCCAGGAGGAGGAUUUUCCCAAUGCGCUAAAGAAAGAAAUAACGAAGAGGACUGGGGAUUUAAAGCCUCAUGUGCUUUGAAAGAACCCUGUAUCUCCUUUUAACCAGAGAAAUGAAGUUCAACUGCCAGAUGUGUGGACCAGGUAAGCAAGUACCUAAGCAUCUCGCUAUGCCUUUUGCCAAGACCCCACUGUGUUUCACAAACACCACAAGAUUUUGAGGUGGAGUCGAGCACUGUUUUGUAAGAGGAGAGACAAGAGGAUUGCCUGGCAGGUGUCUGAGCAGACCUCUGUUACAGCUCAGCCUAUGCUCUGAUUCCCAGGCCAGAUUUCUGCCACCUUCUCCAGCGAUCAUUAUUGCUCAUUUUGUAUCACUUCUAUGGACUACUCGAAAUUGCAAAUUUGCAAAUUAAUGCCUCAGAGUAGGUGUUAUGCCCCCCAAAAAAGAGAAUGAAGGCUGGUAUCUCUCAGUGUAACUUGCUCCCUAUGUAAACAGCCUUCUACUUUUGGCCCAUGUCUGAGUUCCUCUGGCCCAGAUCCCAGGGAGGUCUCUGAGCCCUGUAGUUUUCUGAGGUUCUGUAACCAGUGGUGGCAGGCUGCCCUUCUGCAGAGUUUCAUGGGGAAAAACACAGCAUAUUGCAUGGGGAGAAACACAGU
This 1213-nucleotide long non-coding RNA is filed under the name Struthio camelus australis. RNAcentral describes it as "lncRNA (ENSSCUG00000017127.1)". The record is from RNAcentral. Lineage: Eukaryota; Metazoa; Chordata; Aves; Struthioniformes; Struthionidae.